Spinacia oleracea (spinach) is the source of this 4371-nucleotide RNA transcript. RefSeq lists it as uncharacterized. Lineage: Eukaryota; Viridiplantae; Streptophyta; Magnoliopsida; Caryophyllales; Amaranthaceae. The record is from RefSeq and is a predicted model, not a curated record. The transcript is spliced from 13 exons.
AAUGCGACUAUUUUAAAAAAUGAUCUUUUGUAUUUGAGUGAGUGACUACACAAACCAAGUUAAAUAUGAGAAUAUAUGUGGUGAUCUGGUGAAUUGUGUGGCAAGGGAGAAUAUAAUUCAUAGCAUCUCUUUCUCUUUAUAAAUAAGAACUUCAUGAGCAAAUGUGGGGAAACAUUGACUAGUCGAAUUUAGAUUCUGAAUUGUUCUAAUCUGUUCCUUGUCUUCAAACAAAAAAUGAAGAAAGAGAACGAUGCUGCUUCAUUGAAGAACAGUAAAGUCUCCUUCACUCGAAAGUGCCUUAAAAUGGUUCCAUUUCUUGGAAACUACACAAGCUGAAGUGCUGUCUCCCUGAGACGAUUGAGCAAUUUACUUUUCAUGCUAAGUGAUAAUGUAGACUUAUGGUGCUAACGUCUCCUAUCUUGUUCUUUGUGUACCGCCUUGAGACUUAUGGUUAUGUACCUCCUGUGCUCUGAAUAUUUCUGUCGUGGUGCCCUUAUUGAGCACUCUUAUCAGUGUGGUGUUUGCAUUUUAACAGUGUGUCAACCUCUUCCUUGGUGGUAUAAAGAAAUAAAAGAUGACGAGCUAUGAACUCUUCCAGAUUUUUUGUUCCAUGUGGUGGUACUCCUGUGGUAUUGUGUUGCGAAUUCUUAUGAGACUGAGUGACUGACAGAUCUUCUUUCUUGCAGCAUCCCUGUUAAGAAUGACAGAAUGUAUUCCUGGUUGUUGGAUAUUACUUCGCAGGUUUUCAAAUGCGUGUUUCCAUUUUAAUUGACUUAGUUUAUAAUUUACUUUUUCUAUUUUUCAUGGGACUAUAGAGUAAUGCAUAUUGUUAGGUGUGGUUGCACAUGGGUGAUUGUUAGGUGUUCCUGAAGGUAGUUGACAGAUUAAAUGAAGCCUUGACCAGAUGCUUUUUUGUUGGGUUAUCAUCUUUUCUGGCUUUUGUUUUGAGUUUAUACAUGCAUAAUUGUUGAACUUAUCACAUGUAAUGGAGGCUGCGAUGCUUAAGUAAACCAUUUAUUCUUGUCAUUUAGACGGUGUGAAGGGAUAUCUUAUCUUAAUUUAGAUCACAUCAACUGAAUCUUUUUAUUGAAGCGUGGUGAAGACUCUUCUUAUGCUGCAAUAUGUUUAGGUAGUGUUUGGAUACAAGCAUUUGAUUUCAAAUCUAGAAAUUCAAAUUCCUACUUUCAAAUCGAAAUUAUCUGUUUGGGAAAUACACAGAAUUGUAAACCCUUCAUUUCAAUUAUUAGUAUAUUGUUUGGAAAGAAAAUACUCCGUAAAAUUUUAAUUUUGAAAUUGAAAACUUUCAACUGUUUUCAAAAAAUAAAAAUAAAUCAAUUUUAACAAGUAAAUCACCUACCAGACAACCGGUAUUGUAAACAAAAAAUAAUAAUCAAGCUUAGCUUCAUUCUUUUCGUUCUCCGUCAGUCCAUCACUCCAUCCACAAUAAUCCAUACAAAAAUCAUUAGCCUUUGACCAAAAUUUGGGGAAAUCAUAUCAUAACUCUUUAAUUUAGCUGUCCAGCAUCAAAGUGUCAAAAAUAAAGGUUUCCUUCCGCGCAGGCGAAUGAUGGCGGAGACUUUUCUGGUGGUGUUGAAAGAAAGAGAUCAGAAUUUGUGAUAGGAGAGAAAAGGAGGGAUUAAAUUUGAGACAGGAGAAAGAACGAGAGGGUUGUGAGAAUGGAGAUAUGUACCAUGUACCAAGUAUUUGGGUUUGGAGAAGAAAGGCAAAAAACAUGGAGGACAGAGAAAGCUGGAAUUUCAAAUAGUCAUUUCAAAUUAUUAUUUUUUGGUUUGUUUUUAAUUACUCUGGAAUUUGGGCCAAUUCCAUGAUUUCAAAUUCUUCGUUAUCCAAACAAUGGAUUUCAGCCAAUUCUAGAAUUUGAAAUGAAAUGACGCUAUCCAAACAGGCCAUUAGGGAAUUUAUGAUAUUGUUAAAAUUCAUUAUUGUUUUUGCUGGUACUUUUGUAGUUGUUCAGUGUGUGAUGUGUUUGCCUAAGUUGUAAUAUUGUUAGAAACUUAGAAUUUUAUCAUUAGUGGUGGCAUAGUCUCUCUUGCGCGUGUAAUGUUUAUGUCAGUCGCUUGAGAGUCGUUCCUGGUGUUGGUUGUAUCUGUUUUUCUGGUUCUGGGUAGCGGAAUUCUGCCAGAGAUUGUUUUCUUUCUGAACUUGUUAGAGUCACUACUCUAUGAAGUAGGUUCUGGAAAAUUCUAUUGCUCAUUUUCUGCAGAUGCCCUGUUCAGCCGGUUAUUACCUUUUGCUGCUGUCAUUCAUCAAAACUUCUAUUCAUAAGUUGAUGCUAUACGAUAUAACCAUGGGACAUCGGGUUGUCAUUGAUGUAUGGAACUGGGGUCUGAGGUAUAUUCUCAUUUUCUUCUAUAAGAUACCUUGUUGCUUUUUGCUGCUGUUAUGGACUAGAAUCUUCCAUGAAGCAAUUGGUGCUAUAAGUGAUCUCAGCUGGCCAAAACCUGAAGUUCCUCUGAUCAGCAGGAUAGACUUUGAGAUGCAGUCUAUUGUUUCAGUUACGACCCGUAUCCUCAGAAACUGUAUCAUUUCCGUACCCCUCAAUCCUAUCUACUGUUCUGGAGUGCUUCCAUUUCACUUCUGGAGACAGAAAGUACCACUCUUAAUAAUGUCAGAGCAAACCUGGAAACAACCCCAGGAAAGUAAGAGUUGAUCGAAGUUUUGCAGUUCUUCAUGUUGGUUUGAUGAUGUUGCUGAAAGAAGGCUGAAGUCGAUUAUGGGGAUGUCCACAUAUACAUCCGCAGACUGAUUAUCAGCUGCUUUGGUUGGAAGCUGGAGGGACAGAUGCAGCCAUUUUACUUGGUGAUGACUCUAAAUGAAAAUAUGGAGAGGAUUAGGCCAAGGAGAUUAUAUGCUAAUUAAUUUGUUGUACUUUGCAACACACCUGCUGCCCACAACAGAUAAACAAGAGGAACACAGCAAAAAUAGUGAAGAACAGGAAGAAUUUGAUUGAUGAUUAGUUGAUUACUCAGGAACCGAUUACAAAAGUAGUAGCUUGAGGCUACAAAUCUCCAAGUUGGUAGUUUGAGGCUAGUAAUCUCUAUUCUCAAUACAAAACACAAUAAUGUUCUCUUUCCUUUCUUCCUCUAUUUAAUUGCUAGCUUAAGCUACUAGUACGAUUCCUCAUAAAUGCAGCUGCUGCUCUGCUUUGUCUUUUAGUGGCUAAUAAUCCUGCUUUCCGACUCUGCUCCUGCUGCAGGUGCUUGUUGUGCCCUAUGAGCUUUAUGCUAGCCCUUUCUUGUGGCGCCUGCUGUACACAAACACAGUUCCAGCUUCAAUAGAGGGGAAAAUGAUGCAGCCAUUUUACUUGGUUAUGAGAGGUGAUUAGAUAUACCAUGCUCAACUGGUUAUUGUACCUUUUGCUGCUGUUAUUGAUUAAAACUUCCAUGCAGCUAUUGCUGCUAUACGUUAUAAACACUGUGUACAAAAAGGUUCGAUACAGUUGGAAGUAACAGAGGAACGGCCAUGGUUGAGAUCAGUAGAGUCAAUUCUCCAAUCAUAAAUCUGGCCAAAACUUGAAGUUUCGCUGAUCAACAGGGUAAACUUUGAGAACCAGUCUGUCAUUCCAGCAAUACUUCUGAUCCUCAGAAACUGUAUCAUUUCCAUAUCCUUCAACCCAAUGUAAAGUUCUGGAAUGCUUCUGUUUCACUUCUAGGGGCAGACCAAAGAAUUCCUUCUCGACUUGUCGGAUUUGGUGAAGUAGUGAACUUGUCAAACCAUGAUUUCUAAGCUGGAAAGCAAUUGAGAAAUAAGUUUUCAACUGAUACAGGAGUUCUUCAGGUUGAUGUGUUGAUACAGCUGAAAGAAGGUUGAGAUCAAUGAUGGGAUUGUCCAUAUACUUAAUCGCCGAAUGAUCAGCAGCUGUCUCUGGAAACUGGUGAAUAUAUCUGUCUGGGAGUUGAUCACCUGUUAUUUUACUCAACUCUUGUGUUGGUUUUGGUGGUAAUUCUGGCUUCAUAGGAGAGACAGAUGAUGCAGCCAUUUUACUAUGUGAUGAACCGGACACGGAAAUAACAGGAGAUGAAUUAGAUCUGCUGAUUAUAUAGCAUUCACUUGAAAAUUUUCUGAUGAAUUACCAACUACUUGGUAUUUAUCAAUGAGCAGUGUGAUAUAUUCUUUUAUUUUAUUUUUGAUGAUUUUUGAAAGUUGUGAUUGGAUUGGAUUCUUUUUCGUUGGUGGAGCAUUGCUUUGUAUUAAUAUGUAGGGUACUCUCUGCAAUUCCUCCUAUUACCAAACCACUUAAUUCGUAAUAGUUGUACAGAAAUUCCGGGAUCAGUUGGUACUUUAGAUGCUUGUAAACAUUGUGUGGUGCUAUCUCUUACUACGUAUGAUGGUAUUUUGGAUCAUCUUGAA